Molecule: ribosomal RNA, 490 nt
Filed under: uncultured bacterium
Lineage: Bacteria
Description: partial 16S ribosomal RNA
Rfam family: Bacterial small subunit ribosomal RNA
Source: RNAcentral
AUUGAACGCUGGCGGCAGGCCUAACACAUGCAAGUCGAACGGUAACAGGAAGCAGCUUGCUGCUUCGCUGACGAGUGGCGGACGGGUGAGUAAUGUCUGGGAAGCUGCCUGAUGGAGGGGGAUAACUACUGGAAACGGUAGCUAAUACCGCAUAAUGUCGCAAGACCAAAGAGGGGGACCUUCGGGCCUCUUGCCAUCGGAUGUGCCCAGAUGGGAUUAGCUUGUUGGUGGGGUAACGGCUCACCAAGGCGACGAUCCCUAGCUGGUCUGAGAGGAUGACCAGCCACACUGGAACUGAGACACGGUCCAGACUCCUACGGGAGGCAGCAGUGGGGAAUAUUGCACAAUGGGCGCAAGCCUGAUGCAGCCAUGCCGCGUGUAUGAAGAAGGCCUUCGGGUUGUAAAGUACUUUCAGCGGGGAGGAAGGGAGUAAAGUUAAUACCUUUGCUCAUUGACAUUACCCGCAGAAGAAGCACCGGCUAACUCCGCG